UAAUGCAAUUGUGAGAAUAAUUUGGUUACUCAAAUUUCUCUGCCUUCACAGCUUAAAUUGGUUUGUUUCCAUUAAAAUUGAAGAUUUAGACUCAUUUCAGCAUUUUUAGACUCAUCAGCAAAGAAUAUUUCUUGGCAAUGAGGAAGAGGUAAGCCUUGGAAGAAUAUUGUAGACAUGAUGGAUUUUCACUCUACACUUUCCAGGACCAAGCAAUCUCGUACACAUGCCAGAAAUCCUUGUGAAUUUCUCCAAG
This 253-nucleotide long non-coding RNA is filed under the name Zonotrichia albicollis (white-throated sparrow). RNAcentral's name for it is "lncRNA (ENSZALG00000016149.1)". The record is from RNAcentral. Lineage: Eukaryota; Metazoa; Chordata; Aves; Passeriformes; Passerellidae.